This 801-nucleotide ribosomal RNA is filed under the name uncultured bacterium. RNAcentral's name for it is "bacterial SSU rRNA". It matches the Rfam family "Bacterial small subunit ribosomal RNA", at positions 59 to 825 of the family's 1533-position model. The record is from RNAcentral.
CAGUCGACGGAAGUCGUUGUAAUGAUGUUGACAUGAACAGAGAACUUGUUCAAAGGGAAUGAAGAUUGACUUACGACAAUGGCUUUAGUGGCGGACUGGUGAGUAACACGUAAGCAACCUGCCUAUCAGAGGGGAACAACAGUUAGAAAUGACUGCUAAUACCGCAUAUACCUAAGUACCACAUGGUACAAUAGGGAAAGGAGCAAUCCGCUGAUAGAUGGGCUUGCGUCUGAUUAGAUAGUUGGUGGGGUAACGGCCUACCAAGUCGACGAUCAGUAGCCGGACUGAGAGGUUGAACGGCCACAUUGGGACUGAGGUACGGCCCAGACUCCUACGGGAGGCAGCAGUCGGGAAUAUUGCGCAAUGGAGGAAACUCUGACGCAGUGACGCCGCGUGCAGGAAGAAGGUUUUCGGAUUGUAAACUGCUUUAGACAGGGAAGAAAAAAGACAGUACCUGUAGAAUAAGCUCCGGCUAACUACGUGCCAGCAGCCGCGGUAAUACGUAGGGAGCAAGCGUUAUCCGGAUUUAUUGGGUGUAAAGGGUGCGUAGACGGGAAAACAAGUUAGUUGUGAAAUCCCUCAGCUUAACUGAGGAACUGCAACUAAAACUAUUUUUCUUGAGUGCUGGAGAGGAAAGUGGAAUUCCUAGUGUAGCGGUGAAAUGCGUAGAUAUUAGGAGGAACACCAGUGGCGAAGGCGACUUUCUGGACAGUAACUGACGUUGAGGCACGAAAGUGUGGGGAGCAAACAGGAUUAGAUACCCUGGUAGUCCACACCGUAAACGAUGGAUACUAGGUGUAG